This 265-nucleotide long non-coding RNA is filed under the name Brassica napus (rape). RNAcentral describes it as "long non-coding RNA (BNAP_LNC012047)". Lineage: Eukaryota; Viridiplantae; Streptophyta; Magnoliopsida; Brassicales; Brassicaceae. The record is from RNAcentral.
GUGCGAGAAAUAUUAGAAGAGAGACAAAACGGAAAUUCGAUCCUUGGUCCAAAUGUUUAAUUGGUUCAAGUGUUUUUGUUUUUGUGAGCUUAGAAGAAAGGUAAGGGCAUGAUUAACCCCGGUCUCUUAGCCGGGGUUCUUAACUGAUGAUUUGACAUUUUUUUUUGUUUUUUUAUUCUUUUCGGCUAAGAGACAACUCUUAUAUCUCUUAUUUAAGAGAACGUUAUUAGCUUUUCUUGGUUAAAAUCUAAGAAAAGCUAAGAAC